CCACUUGCUCUAGGGACGAUCGGUGAUAUUUCUAUACUGUUAAACUUGCAAACGGCUCACUACGGCCAUUAAAAUUAUUGAUUUUGAGCCCCUUCGAUCAUAGGCAAAUGAUAUCGAAAAAUUAUAAAAUUUAUUUUCUAGGUACUUCAAAUACUCUAGAUCAAGUUUAACGGAGCCGAUCGACGAUUCGAAAGUCGCAACAUCGAAAAUGACUUGAAAGCACGGAAGGCUCAGUACUUCCAAAAACAUAGUAGCCUCACUCAUAUAUAUAUAUAUAUAUAUAGGCUGGAAUACUAUUAAUAGUAAAACGCUCUCUUUGCUAUCAAGUUUUUAACCCUUGGAUGAAAAAUUAUAGGGUCAGAAUGAUAUUAGUCGGUUAGAGUUGAGUGGUUCCCUCUAGGGUUGAGUAGUCCCCACUGGGUUAUAGUAUUUAAUCCAAUGGUUAGAAAUAAUGAAAAGAGUUGAUCCAAAGGCUAAAAAACUGGUAGUAACAAUGAAAUUUUGCUACUAAUAGUAGCCCAGUCCAACUAUAUAUAUAUAUAUAUAUAUAUAUAUAUAUCAUUAACAAACAGACUUCACUGCCACUCAUUUAUUUUUUAUGAUAGAACCUUCAAAUCGAUGAUGGGUACCGUUGAACAUGAUUUAUAUCAUUUGAAAUAUUUAAAAACUAAAUUUUGAUAUUUUUGAUAUCAUUGACCUAAUGAUCAAAGAGUUUUAAAAUUUAUAAUUUUAAUAGUCAAUAUGAGGGUUUUUUUUUUUUGUUUAACGGUAUAAAGAUAUCCAAAUUAAUUGAAAUUUGAUUAAAUUUUUUUAAAAACUAUUAAAAUAAGAUCUAUACUCUUGAUCUUGAUUAUAAAAUUUCUAUCUAUCACUUUUUAAAGAAUAUUUAUUUUUAGCCAUUCGAAAAAGUAUGAAAUUUGAUUUCUAAAUCCUUCCGUUGAUAUAGAUCAUGUUCAACAGUCUCGAUCGUUGAUUUGAAGACUUCAUCAUCGAAAACAAAUAAGUGGCAACGGAGCCCGCUUGUUGCCGAUAGCAUUCCAGCCCAACUCUAUUGUUUCUUUAUAUUCUAAGGUUUUAUAUAAUUAU
Molecule: long non-coding RNA, 1086 nt
Filed under: Ananas comosus (pineapple)
Lineage: Eukaryota; Viridiplantae; Streptophyta; Magnoliopsida; Poales; Bromeliaceae
Description: long non-coding RNA (ACOM_LNC004093)
Source: RNAcentral